ACAUUCCUGUUCAGAACAAAUACAUGCUGCCAAACCAAGGACCAAGAUGUCACAUUUCAUCCUGUGUGCUUCGGUGAAUGAACAUAUUCCACAAAACAGGCUGUUACUAAUGAAAUCUGUUUAACUCCUCUGAUAUCUUAUGACACAGUUCUUAGCUUUGUACAAUAAAAUCUGUGUUCCCUCUCGGUGUGUGGAAUAAACCAAUUCUCCAGUUAAGAAGGUUUCUGUUCUUAUUUGAUUUGUGACAUUUAAAUGAUCAAAGCUCAGGAGCAUUUGAGUAGUUGGAGGAAAAUAGGUGAUUAUCUCAAACCGUGUGCGUUUAUAAGUUAACUUGUACAGUUAUAGUAGAAGUGCCAGAAAUACACAUUUCAGUGCUUCACACCUGAACACAAACUUUCAGUCUCAGUUUCGCGAAGUUCAACUAAAAUACUCACAAGGCUAUUUAUGUGCUUUAGAUCCCAUCAGCUGUUAUAUUCUGCUUUUCAGACGUAUAUUGAUACAUAGGUAGAUAAUGAAGAGGAGGGUAUUCACUGUCAUUUUUUUGUUGUUUUAGUCCUAUGUGUUCUUUGAAUGUUGUAUAUUGUAUUUGGCAUUGUCAACUAUAAAAUGUUGAAGAUAGUAAAGUAAGCGAAAGUAAGUCCUCCCUUAUUCACUUGAGGUCGCCCACACCAGAUUAGCACACAGCACAUAUAAAACCUUAAAGAUCAUUUUUAAAAAUAUCUUUCCAGGGUGAUUUGUUUUGUCUUUGACUGCACACACAAAAGAGAAGUGUGACUGCCGCCAAAAACAUAUUUUUUCACUGGCACUGGUUUGUCUGUUAGAAAGAUAAUUAAAGUCAUGGAUUUAGUUGAGUGAAAUUUGAUGAUCAGAUCAGACAAUUUUCUGGGAAUUAUGUGAUUUACAUUUUGGAGAUGAUCUGGAAUAUAUUCUAGAACUGAGAUCCAGAUGAGUGUUGGGCACAGAGUAACAUUUAAAAAAAAGUGGAGAGAUAAUGUUGAUAAAAUUUGGUGAGCAGAUGGUUAAUGUCCUAGAAAAUGAGGGGUUUUAUUCUGAAUUUGAUCUGGAUUAUAUAAAAUAAGUUUUAAGCAAUAUGUGGCCUUGAUGGGGUGUGUGCUCUGAUUGCUUUCUAGUUUCAUAUGAAUUUGGUUUCUCAUUCUCACUGAUUUUAUUGAUUGUAUUGCUGGUUGAUUCCUUCAUUCUGUUGAUUUGAGGUUUUCAAAGGAUUUUUAUUAGGUGUUUCUCUUGAUCUCUUACUCCCUGCAAAAUCUAAACUUCUCACUGCAAACAUACAAAAUCUUACCAACUAUAUUUGUCUUUGUAGUCAGACUAUCUGCAUAAUCACUUAA
Thalassophryne amazonica is the source of this 1346-nucleotide long non-coding RNA. RefSeq lists it as uncharacterized. The transcript has 2 exons. NCBI's taxonomy places the organism in Eukaryota, Metazoa, Chordata, Actinopteri, Batrachoidiformes, Batrachoididae. The record is from RefSeq and is a predicted model, not a curated record.